CUUCUGAUCCUGAGACUGAUGACAGUGCUGAUUGGAAGGAGACCAGAGAACCUCAGUCAGCUUUAAACUCUCUGAAACAUGAUUCAAGAUGUAAGAAAACAUUCAGCUGCUCUGAGUGUGGGAGAACAUUUGGGACCAAGGCACACCUGAAGAGACACAUGAUAACUCAUACAGGAGAGAGGCCUUUCAUCUGCUCAGUGUGUAGGAAAUCUUUUACACAGAGUGGAGAUUUACAGAGACACGCAAUAAUUCACACUGGAGAGAAAACUUUCAGCUGCUCUGAGUGUGGGAGAAGAUUUGGCCGCAAGCAACAUCUGAAUAGACACGUGAUGACUCACACAGGAGAAAAACCUUUCAGCUGCUUCGUCUGUAAGAAAUCUUUUACACACAGUGCAAAUUUAGGCCCACACAUGACAGUCCACACAGGGGAAAAAAGAUUUAGCUGCGGUGUUUGUGAAAAGACAUUUCAGUGGCGUACUCAGGUCAAAAGACAUAAAUGUGUCGGUCGUAAGUCGUCACAGCUUCAUCAGAGUCAAACAGAGGAGAACCGAGAUGCAGAGCCUCCAGCCAGCAGAGAAACUCAACGCAUGGAAACAGAAGCUGAUGGAGAGGACUUGUUGGGGCUUUGGAAAUUAUAGAGUGUGGUCUAGACCUACUCUAUCUGUAAAGUGUCUCGAGAUAACUCUUGUUAUGAUUUGAUACUAUAAAUAAAAUUGAAUUGAAUUGACUGUGGAGGACCAGAACCAGCCAGGAACUCGCAUCCAUUAAGGACCUUAUGCCGUUGCCUGACGUGCACCUCUCAAAAAAUGGCAGACAAAAUAGUGGCUUGUUGGUUUAAUUGAGAGCCCACACAGGGAGGAGGGGCCUGAGGGGAGGGACAAAGAGGCGUGGUGUACAGGUAAUUUGCAUAGGCUACUGGGAGAGACCGCAGCUCCACAGGCAUCCUCACAGAUUACCCAUAUCUGCAAUGGCUUCCACAAGUUCACCUGGAACCUCCAAAUCUCAAGAUAUACAAGAUCUUUUCUUGGAGGGG
Long non-coding RNA from Perca fluviatilis (European perch), 1033 nucleotides. RefSeq lists it as uncharacterized. NCBI's taxonomy places the organism in Eukaryota, Metazoa, Chordata, Actinopteri, Perciformes, Percidae. The record is from RefSeq and is a predicted model, not a curated record. The transcript has 3 exons.